GUAAAGGAAAACAAGAGAAAAAGUCAAAUAUUUUUCCUUGCUGAGGUAUUUAAAAUGUAGACCCUUCUUUCUGGGACCUCAAUUUGGAAUCCGCCAGGCAUGGAGGCGGGGUGGUGGGUCAGGCUGUCGCAGUGUGGAAUGCCCCUUCUCAGUUCCAGCCUACACUGUGCAAACCAGUUAGGGGUCUGUAGGUGAGCUCCCCCCUCUUGCCCUUGUAAGGUUAUCCAUAAAAGGGCUAAAUCCCAUUCUCAAGGCUUUUGUCUUUGUACCCAGGGAUGGGGCUUGGUGACAGUAGGAGCCUCCUGCUAGCCCCUCUCACACACCAAGCCUGGAGACUGAUGGGAUUUGCACACCCUUGACUCAAAGACUCAGUGUGCUCAGGGCAUAACUAAUGUCCAAGCCAUUGCAGUGUGUCCUCUGAAUGCUUCUGAGCAUGGAAGAAGUGACCACAUCAGUGGGAUCUGCACCGGGUGGGAUGUUGUGGGAACCAAGACUCUGCCAAUCCUAGCCACAGCGCUCCCAGACCCAACCCCUUUGUGAAUCUUAACACACCUGGUUUCACGGAGGCCAACUCACCAAUUUUAAAUGGAAAUGCCUUCUGCUCCCCUGUGCCUCAUGGGCCACAAUUCCCACUGUCUAGAAUUCUCCAAAGAUCUUUAUCACAGUCACGUCCCUGGACCUAAACUGACUCUCAGUGUUGGCAACCACAGAGCCAGUGAAAAGAAGAGGCUGUUAGGUCCAAGAUACGUAAAAAAAUACAGGGACUUCUUACCUCCCUCCCAAGCAGUUAAGUCCAUUCCAUGAGACCUUCUGAAGAUGGCUCCCUGUUACAGCACCAUAUGAACUUGGUGGAAACGCUGGGGACCUCUUCUCCUGCAACAGCCCACCUGUGCAGCUCCCAGGUCUCAUGUUUGCCAGGUGGCAAACUCUGUUGUCCUGGACUCUGUUGUCACUGGGACUCUUCAGCCUGCUGAAGGGUGUCUUCCUCCCAGCACAGGGCCCAUCCCGGUGUCAGUGUACUCUCUUCUAAAAUCCAAUAUUUGGGGAAUCACCUACAGCUAUAUUCUAGCACUUUCCUAUGAACCCCCCACCACUACCUCAAUGCACACCUGUUGAUUUGGUUCGAUCUCAUGGGACAGCAGGUUAGAGCUGAGUACCUCUGAACUGUCAUCAUCUUGCCAAGUCAUUUUAGAGUUCCUGGAUGAGUCCUGUGAUAGUGUUUUGUUAUUUGGAUUGGAGUGGGUUUUUUGUUUGGUUGAUUUUUUUUUUAAUUGUUCUAACUAGUUAUAUAUGCCAGCAGAAUGCAUUUUGAUUCAUUGUGCAAAAAUGGACCACAACUUUCAUUUCUCUGGUUGUACAUGCCAUUCAUGCAAACAUACCAAGGGUAAUGAUGCCCAUCUCAUUCCACCAUCUUACCUACACCCAUGCCCCUUCCCCUCCUCUCACUGACCUCUGUUCAAUUCAAAGUUCCCCCAUGCCUUUAUUCAUGGAUAAAUAUGGAUCAGCAUCCAAUUAUCAGAGAAAAC
This 1526-nucleotide long non-coding RNA is filed under the name Marmota monax (woodchuck). The record is from RNAcentral. Lineage: Eukaryota; Metazoa; Chordata; Mammalia; Rodentia; Sciuridae.